GAUGAACGCUCGCUACAGGCUUAACACAUGCAAGUCGAGGGGAAACGAUGAGAGAGCUUGCUCUCUUAGGCGUCGACCGGCGCACGGGUGAGUAACGCGUAUCCAACCUACCCAUUACAGGGGGAUAACCUUGCGAAAGUAAGACUAAUACCCCAUGGCAUUUUAUGGUGGCAUCAUUAUAGGAUUAAAGAUUUAUUGGUAAUGGAUGGGGAUGCGUCUGAUUAGCUUGUUGGCGGGGUAACGGCCCACCAAGGCAACGAUCAGUAGGGGUUCUGAGAGGAAGGUCCCCCACAUUGGAACUGAGACACGGUCCAAACUCCUACGGGAGGCAGCAGUGAGGAAUAUUGGGCAAUGGGCGAGAGCUUGAACCAGCCAAGUAGCGUGCAGGAUGACGGCCCUAUGGGUUGUAAACUGCUUUUAUAGGGGAAUAAAGUGAGCUACGUGUAGUUUAUUGCAUGUACCCUAUGAAUAAGGACCGGCUAAUUCCGUG
Molecule: ribosomal RNA, 490 nt
Filed under: uncultured bacterium
Lineage: Bacteria
Description: partial 16S ribosomal RNA
Rfam family: Bacterial small subunit ribosomal RNA
Source: RNAcentral